CCGAAUUGUUAACAAGAGUUGUUGCUGGUCUCCAUGUAUGGGGGCAUGUGCACGCUCUGUUUACACAUCCACUUACACCUGUGCACCCUCUGUAGUUCUGUGGCUUGUGGGGCUCCGCCCUCCUGCUGUGGUUCUACGUCUUUACACACACACUGUAAUAAAGUCUCAUGGAAUGUAUGUCGCGUUUAACGCAAUGAAAUA
RNAcentral lists this unclassified non-coding RNA (201 nucleotides) under uncultured Tomentella. RNAcentral describes it as "sequence contains ITS1". Lineage: Eukaryota; Fungi; Basidiomycota; Agaricomycetes; Thelephorales; Thelephoraceae. The record is from RNAcentral.